AUUGAACGCUGGCGGCAGGCCUAACACAUGCAAGUCGAGCGGAUGAUGGGAGCUUGCUCCUGGAUUCAGCGGCGGACGGGCGAGUAAUGCCUAGGAAUCUGCCUGGUCGUGGGGGAUAACGUCCGGAAACGGGCGCUAAUACCGCAUACGUCCUGAGGGUGAAAGUGGGGAUCUUCGGACCUCACGCUAUCUUAUUAGCCUAGGUCGGAUUAGCUAGUUGGUGGGGUAAAGGCCUACCAAGGCGACGAUCCGUAACUGGUCUGAGAGGAUGAUCAGUCACACUGGAACUGAGACACGGUCCAGACUCCUACGGGAGGCAGCAGUGGGGAAUAUUGGACAAUGGGCGAAAGCCUGAUCCAGCCAUGCCGCGUGAGUGAAGAAGGUCUUCGGAUUGUAAAGCACUUUAAGUUGGGAGGAAGGGAAGUAAGUUAAUACCUUGCUGUUUUGACGUUACCAACAGAAUAAGCACCGGCUAACUUCGUG
Molecule: ribosomal RNA, 483 nt
Filed under: uncultured bacterium
Lineage: Bacteria
Description: partial 16S ribosomal RNA
Rfam family: Bacterial small subunit ribosomal RNA
Source: RNAcentral